This 3258-nucleotide long non-coding RNA is filed under the name Homo sapiens (human). Its description in RNAcentral is "HSALNT0379530". The record is from RNAcentral. Lineage: Eukaryota; Metazoa; Chordata; Mammalia; Primates; Hominidae.
GCCAAGCCACGGACGCAGCACCUUGGUCCAAGCACACACCUUAGAUCCUGGAGGGUCCUGGAUGCAUCUGGUCAUGGACUCACCUUGCUGCUUGCUGGCACCCUCCCCAGGUGUCAUGUCGCAUCUGCCCUAUGUUUGUGGGUGAUUGUGACCCUUUCAUGGGUGGGGCAGCAUGAUCGGGGCAGAUCUCUCAGCUCCCUUCCCCGGCGUGACCCUCCGUCUUUCUCUUUGUCAGUUCUGACAUUUACUCAUUUUUUGUCUACAGAGAGUGGAUGAGAGCUCUCUGCCACUGUCCGGGAGGGCUGGGGCUGGGUGAGGUCUGGGGGCUGGGUGAGGUCUGAGGGCUGGCUGGCAGCUAGGAGGAGGGAGACAUGACGCUGACGGCCCUGCAUUGCUGCUUCCUCCAGCUGAAUCUACCACCCUGACUUAAGGGUCUCCUGGAGAAAGCCCUGGAGCAGACACCAGCCCUGGCUCGCUGCAGCCUUCGAGCCCCACUCUCUCCUCUGGACCUCAGUUUCGCCAUCCAUCCAAUGGUGACCACUCAGUCACUGCCAGAUCCUGAGCAGAUCCGUCCUGGCCCUGGGGAGUGGACCAUCAGGGGGCAGGGCUGGCCAGUGAGCAGAGAGCUGGCGGUGACAUGGGCUCAGCACAGAGCACCACGUGGGGCCUGGGAGGAGCCAUGAGAGCCGGCAGCCCUGCCUGUCCUCCAGAUGAAAGCGAGGCCCGCAGCCUGAGAGGGAGGGAGGAGACGCUAAUUACGCCCAGCGCGGGGCUCCCCAGGCAGCCUCAGCCACAGGAUCAAACACCGCCUUCCUCAGCCACGCGCCCGCCCUGCCCUGCAGGAGCAGUCACGGAGCUGCGACACCACCAGAGCUGGGACACCACCAGAGCUGCGAGACCACCAGAGCUGUGACACCACCAGAGCCGGGACACCACCAGAGCCGGGACACCACCAGAGCCGGGACACCACCAGAGCUCCGAGACCACCAGAGCUGCCACACCACCAGAGCUGUGACACCACCAGAGCCGUGACACCACCAGAGCCGGGACACCACCAGAGCCGGGACACCACCAGAGCCGCGAGACCACCAGAGCCGUGACACCACCAGAGCCGGGACACCACCAGAGCUGGGACACCACCAGAGCUGCGAGACCACCAGAGCUGGGACACCACCAGAGCUGCCACACCACCAGAGCUGCGACAGCACCAGAGCCGGGACACCAGCAGAGCCGGGACACCACCAGAGCCGCAACACCACCAGAGCUGCGACACCAGCAGAGCCGCGACACCAGCAGAGCCGGGACACCACCAGAGCCGUGACACCAGCAGAGCCGGGACACCACCAGAGCUGCGAGACCACCAGGGCCGGGACACCACCAGGGCCGGGACACCACCAGAGCUGCGAGACCACCAGGGCCGGGACACCACCAGAGCCGGGACACCACCAGAGCUGCGAGACCACCAGGGCCGUGACACCACCAGAGCCGGGACACCACCAGAGCUGGGACACCACCAGAGCUGCGAGACCACCAGAGCUGGGACACCACCAGAGCUGCCACACCACCAGAGCUGCGACACCAGCAGAGCCGCGACACCAGCAGAGCCGGGACACCAGCAGAGCCGGGACACCACCAGAGCCGUGACACCAGCAGAGCCGGGACACCACCAGGGCCGGGACACCAGCAGAGCCGGGACACCACCAGAGCCGUGACACCAGCAGAGCCGGGACACCACCAGGGCCGGGACACCACCAGAGCUGCGAGACCACCAGGGCCGGGACACCACCAGAGCCGGGACACCACCAGAGCUGGGACACCACCAGAGCUGCGAGACCACCAGAGCCGUGACACCACCAGAGCCGUGACACCAGCAGAGCUGGGACACCACCAGAGCUGUGAGACCACCAGAGCCGGGACACCACCAGAGCCGGGACACCACCAGAGCUGCGAGACCACCAGAGCCGUGACACCAGCAGAGCCGGGACACCACCAGAGCCGGGACACCACCAGAGCCGGGACACCACCAGAGCUCCGAGACCACCAGAGCUGCCACACCACCAGAGCUGUGACACCACCAGAGCUGUGACACCACCAGAGCCGGGACACCACCAGAGCCGGGACACCACCAGAGCUGCGAGACCACCAGAGCUGGGACACCACCAGAGCUGGGACACCACCAGAGCCGGGACACCACCAGAGCUCCGAGACCACCAGAGCUGCCACACCACCAGAGCUGUGACACCACCAGAGCCGGGACACCACCAGAGCCGGGACACCACCAGAGCCGGGACACCACCAGAGCUGUGACACUGUGGCUUCAGUAAAGCUGUUUCUUCUACCACUGGCUUGCCCUUGCAUUCUUUCCUGGGUGAAGCCAAAAACCCAGAGGGCUAAACUCCACUUUCGGGCUCGCCUGCCUGCAUCAUAACCAUCAGGCCUGGAGAGCCGGGUCUCUUGAGAGUAAACUGCCGUGAGAUUCUACAGGAACUCUGCCUCUCCUCUGGGCUGAGCUGUUCUGCCUCAGUUUCCUCACUAACAAAAUGGGGUGACAUCUUGAGGUGGCCCCUCUCGGUGCUGCCAGCCUCUCUGCUCCCCACUCUUUUUGGGCAGCCCUCAAGGCCCUCGUACAGCAUCUGGGGGGCGGGUCACACUGCAUACGGCAGGGGUGGGGGGGGUCACAGACAGAGGUGCUAAAUCGAUGCAGGACGUCCGCCCCAAAGACACGCUUGUGCUCCCUUUGGAGAGUCCUGCAUCCUUCGCCCUCUGUUCAUCUGUCUGUUUGGGUCCUGGGGAUGAGUCUAGGUGGCGGCCAUCUCCGGAUGUCCCCAGGUUGCUCUGUGUGGGGAAGGGUGGGGAGGCUGCUGGGAACUGGACUCUCCUGGAGAGAGGCAGGGCCAGUGGGCUGUGGGUGCUGGGGCUUGGCACGGUGCUCCCCAGCCUGGUGGCCCCCUCUGCAGUGGAUGGAGUCGGGAUCCUGGGGGCAGUGAGUCUGGGACCCCGUCUUGGGAAGUCAGCCAGCCCCAGGAGCUGAUUUGGCCAACCUGGCCUCAAUUGAGCACCAAGGGGGCCUGAGGGAGCACCGAGGGGGCCUCCUGGGAGUUUGUCACAUGAUGGAGGCCUCGAGCCGUGGCCCGGCUCUGUCUGCUCGCGCCCCCUCACCCACGGCUGGCUAUUGUGGAUGGUGAUGUUCCUGUUACAACUGAGGGAUCUCCAUAGAAACCCAACAAGGUCUAAUUAGACACAAGUAAGUGCUUCCCA